UUAUAAGAGACAGCAGCCGCCGCGGGAAUACGGAGGAUCCAAGCGUUAUCAGGAAUCAUUGGGUUUAAAGGGUCCGUAGGCGGUCUUGUAAGUCAGUGGUGAAAGCCCAUCGCUCAACGGUGGAACGGCCAUUGAUACUGCAGGACUUGAAUUAUUGGGAAGUAACUAGAAUAUGUAGUGUAGCGGUGAAAUGCUUAGAGAUUACAUGGAAUACCAAUUGCGAAGGCAGGUUACUACCAAUUGAUUGACGCUGAUGGACGAAAGCGUGGGUAGCGAACAGGAUUAGAUACCCCAGUAGUCCCUGUCUCUUAUAA
This 314-nucleotide ribosomal RNA is filed under the name uncultured bacterium. RNAcentral describes it as "partial 16S ribosomal RNA". It matches the Rfam family "Bacterial small subunit ribosomal RNA", at positions 499 to 809 of the family's 1533-position model. The record is from RNAcentral.